RNAcentral lists this unclassified non-coding RNA (352 nucleotides) under soil metagenome. RNAcentral describes it as "partial contains 5.8S ribosomal RNA, internal transcribed spacer 2, and large subunit ribosomal RNA". The stretch from base 1 to 120 matches the Rfam family "5.8S ribosomal RNA", at positions 35 to 154 of the family's 154-position model. The record is from RNAcentral.
GAUGAAGAACGUAGCGAAAUGCGAUAAGUAAUGUGAAUUGCAGAAUUCAGUGAAUCAUCGAAUCUUUGAACGCACAUUGCGUCCGCCAGUAUUCUGGCGGGCAUGCCUGUUCGAGCGUCAUUACAACCCUCAGGCCCCCGGGCCUGGCGUUGGGGAUCGGCGGAGCCCCCCGUGGGCACACGCCGUCCCCCAAAUGCAGUGGCGGUCCCGCCGCAGCUUCCAUCGCGUAGUAGCUAACACCUCGCGACUGGAGAGCGGCGCGGCCACGCCGUAAAACACCCAACUCUUCUGAAGUUGACCUCGAAUCAGGUAGGAAUACCCGCUGAACUUAAGCAUAUCAAUAAGCGGAGGA